GAUAAUAGGUUUUUAAGAUCAAUUAAUCCUAAACCACUAUCAUGUCGUUGUAGUAUUGAAGGUUAUCAAUCCAAAUGGGUGUGAUGCUAACAAUCAAGAUGUGAUUAGAAGUCACUAAGUCAAGAGAAGCAGUAAUAAGUUGUGGUGUGUUCUAGCAGUCCUAAGUGAACAUGUAGAAAAUAGAAAAUCAAGCAGAAACAAUAAAAUACUCGACCAACACAGCUCUUUGCAGAGAACUGGGUGAGGUCGAGUAGCAGACAGAAAAUAAAACACAGAUACUUGACUGCACAGUCUGCUGCCAGACAACUGGAUGGUCGAGUAUGAGGUCGAGUAACAAGAAAGAGUUGCAGAAAUUAAGCAACAGAUGACCAAACGCAGUAAACAACAGUAGAGUAAAUAAAAAAUUCAAUCAGAUAAAGAAUUCCCGAGGAUGGGGUAAUUGAGUAGUUUUGUUUCCUCAGUUUACAGGUGACUGACAUGCUCAAUAAAUUAUCCCUAGACAACGAGUUCAUUAACCAAAUCUAAGUGCCACCGCAACAGAGACCCUCAAGUUAACCUAGUCCCAGACUCAAUCACCAUUGACGAGAGCUAACCUAACAGGCAUUACGAAUCAACAAGUUAAAGCCAAAACGCUCCCUGCAACCAAUACCUUGGUACAGGGCCAAGAAUCUCUGGAAUUAGUGGUUCAGACAUUUCAUCCAACACCUUUUGGGCGCGGAAAUGUCUGGGCUCAAAUUCCAGUUGAUCAGAAAGCAAUAGGCAUUAAGAACAACUAAUCCAGAAGGGAUCUAUCAAUCAAUACUCAACCACCUAGCAUACUGAGAAUUCUACACUACUCUAACCCAUCCUGAGAAACCUAUUCACUACUCAGACAUCACAGCAGAAAGCAUAAACGUUUAACAGGAUGAAAACAUGAUAACAACAAUGC
This 928-nucleotide small RNA is filed under the name Arabidopsis thaliana (thale cress). RNAcentral describes it as "ATSL269820". Lineage: Eukaryota; Viridiplantae; Streptophyta; Magnoliopsida; Brassicales; Brassicaceae. The record is from RNAcentral.